CUUAGCAGCCAUAUCACCCUGCAGCCCAAGACUGGUUGCCCACUGAAGCUAAGCAGGGUAGAGCCUGGUCAGUACCUGGAUGGGAGACCUCCUGGGAAAACUAGGUUGCUGCUGGAA
Molecule: ribosomal RNA, 117 nt
Filed under: Sinocyclocheilus anshuiensis
Lineage: Eukaryota; Metazoa; Chordata; Actinopteri; Cypriniformes; Cyprinidae
Source: RNAcentral